GGAGGCAGAGACACAGGCAGAGGGAGAAGCAGGCUCCCUGCCGGGAGCCGGACAUGGGACUCGAUCCCAGAACUCCAGGAUCACGCCCUGGGCUGAAGGCGGACGCUCAACCGCUGAGCCACCUGGGCGUCCCGCGAUUACUUUUCUAAUCAAAUGUACACACAGACUCAGAUACAGAGUAAACAGGGUUGGACUGGAGAGGAGAGGGGUGCGCACUCCCCACGGGCGGGUGGGGCACUCAGGGUCGCGGCGAAGGCCGCCUGCACCGUGCGAGACGCCCGCUGUCGGCCCGCCCAGCGCUGCUGCUCACCUGGGGGUGAGCCCAUUCACCUCACCGCUGCAGCGCAUGCGUCAGAGCGAAACCUCGCCGUGAGCGGGAAUCUCACCGAGGUCUGUCUCCGGCCGGUUUUUACGUCCCUUAUGAGGAAGGAGGUCAACCCGUAUCCGGCCGUCCAGGCCUGCGUCCGCCUUGAGCGGGAUCAGGUGGGACGCCUGCUAUUUCCAGGUGUUUCCAAGUCCGUUGGGGUGGGGCAUGUAAGACUGCUCCUUGACAGCUGGCCUCCUGACGCAGCUGUUCAACAGCCUUUCUUCUGGCACGGUGACAAAGCUGACGUGGCUCUUAGCCUAAACGACUCCAUUUUGUGGAGCAGCCAUUUUAAGAUGAGGACCCUGAAUUCAAAUACCUCUCAGAUGAAGACCCGGAUUGACCACACUCAGUUCAGAUCUUGGUUACCUUCAGCUGAACCUAUUGCCAAUCAAUACAUUUGGGAAUACUAA
This 777-nucleotide long non-coding RNA is filed under the name Vulpes vulpes (red fox). RNAcentral describes it as "lncRNA (ENSVVUG00000025728.1)". The record is from RNAcentral. Lineage: Eukaryota; Metazoa; Chordata; Mammalia; Carnivora; Canidae.